AGUUUUGCGCAGUGGCAGUAUUGUAGCCAAUGAGGUUUAUCCGAGGCGCAAAUAUUGCUAAUUGAAAAUUUUUCCCAAUACCCUGCCAUGACAACUUGCAAUAUAAUCAGCAUGGGCCAUUUUUGACAGUCCCUACAGGGA
This 141-nucleotide small nuclear RNA is filed under the name Microcebus murinus (gray mouse lemur). RNAcentral's name for it is "U4 spliceosomal RNA (ENSMICG00000044901.1)". It matches the Rfam family "U4 spliceosomal RNA". Rfam says of the family: U4 small nuclear RNA (U4 snRNA) is a component of the major U2-dependent spliceosome. The structure of U4 snRNA from yeast and human has been reported. Lineage: Eukaryota; Metazoa; Chordata; Mammalia; Primates; Cheirogaleidae. The record is from Rfam by way of RNAcentral.